RNAcentral lists this ribosomal RNA (253 nucleotides) under uncultured bacterium. RNAcentral describes it as "partial 16S ribosomal RNA". It matches the Rfam family "Bacterial small subunit ribosomal RNA", at positions 524 to 776 of the family's 1533-position model. The record is from RNAcentral.
UACGUAGGGGGCAAGCGUUAUCCGGAAUUACUGGGUGUAAAGGGAGCGUAGACGGUAAUGUAAGUCUGGAGUGAAAGGCGGGGGCCCAACCCCCGGACUGCUCUGGAAACUAUGUUACUAGAGUGCAGGAGAGGUAAGCGGAAUUCCUAGUGUAGCGGUGAAAUGCGUAGAUACUAGGAGGAACACCAGUGGCGAAGGCGGCUUACUGGACUGUAACUGACGUUGAGGCUCGAAAGCGUGGGGAGCAAACAGG